Molecule: transfer RNA, 94 nt
Filed under: Lophium mytilinum
Lineage: Eukaryota; Fungi; Ascomycota; Dothideomycetes; Mytilinidiales; Mytilinidiaceae
Also listed under: 1 other name
Rfam family: tRNA
About the family: Transfer RNA (tRNA) molecules are approximately 80 nucleotides in length. Their secondary structure includes four short double-helical elements and three loops (D, anti-codon, and T loops). Further hydrogen bonds mediate the characteristic L-shaped molecular structure. tRNAs have two regions of fundamental functional importance: the anti-codon, which is responsible for specific mRNA codon recognition, and the 3' end, to which the tRNAs corresponding amino acid is attached (by aminoacyl-tRNA synthetases). tRNAs cope with the degeneracy of the genetic code in two manners: having more than one tRNA (with a specific anti-codon) for a particular amino acid; and 'wobble' base-pairing, i.e. permitting non-standard base-pairing at the 3rd anti-codon position.
Source: Rfam by way of RNAcentral
GGGGUUAUAGCGCAGUUGGGAGCGCGUUAGCCUGAAGGUCCUGCACAGUAGACCUGCAAGCUAAAGGUCACCGGUUCGAUCCCGGUUAACCCCA